UCACGAUAGCGGGAUCGAAUCACAUAUGAGCUAUAACUUGAGAUUCUUUUUUGAUUCUACUAAGUUACCACAAUACACUGCUAGGUGUCACGAUGGAUGGUGAGAGCUCAUUAGGGUUGCUAAGGAUUGACAAUCCUUGAUGAGUCAGAGUGAAACUAUUUCGAUCAAUUGAAAGAAAUUUUAAUGAUACUAUGAUAAAGAUUAUUGUAUAUCUUACUACUAGAUAGAAUAAAAUCUAUGAGGUCACAC
RNAcentral lists this long non-coding RNA (249 nucleotides) under Elaeis guineensis (African oil palm). RNAcentral's name for it is "long non-coding RNA (EGUI_LNC057087)". Lineage: Eukaryota; Viridiplantae; Streptophyta; Magnoliopsida; Arecales; Arecaceae. The record is from RNAcentral.